Molecule: ribosomal RNA, 253 nt
Filed under: uncultured bacterium
Lineage: Bacteria
Description: partial 16S ribosomal RNA
Rfam family: Bacterial small subunit ribosomal RNA
Source: RNAcentral
UACGAAGGGGGCUAGCGUUGCUCGGAAUUACUGGGCGUAAAGCGCACGUAGGCGGUCUUUUAAGUCGGGGGUGAAAUCCUGGAGCUCAACUCCAGAACUGCCUUCGAUACUGGAAGACUUGAGUCCGGGAGAGGUGAGUGGAACUGCGAGUGUAGAGGUGAAAUUCGUAGAUAUUCGCAAGAACACCAGUGGCGAAAGCGGCUCACUGGCCCGGUACUGACGCUGAGGUGCGAAAGCGUGGGGAGCAAACAGG